CGGACGGGUGAGUAACGCGUGGGUAACCGUGCCUCAUACAGGGGGAUAGCAGCUGGAAACGGCUGGUAAUACCGCAUAAGCGCACAGUACCACAUGGUACAGUGUGAAAAACUCCGGUGGUAUGAGAUGGACCCGCGUCUGAUUAGCUUGUUGGCGGGGUAACGGCCCACCAAGGCGACGAUCAGUAGCCGACCUGAGAGGGUGACCGGCCACAUUGGGACUGAGACACGGCCCAG
RNAcentral lists this ribosomal RNA (236 nucleotides) under uncultured bacterium. Its description in RNAcentral is "partial 16S ribosomal RNA". It matches the Rfam family "Bacterial small subunit ribosomal RNA", at positions 99 to 334 of the family's 1533-position model. The record is from RNAcentral.